CCUACGGGAGGCUGCAGUGAGGAAUAUUGGUCAAUGGGCGCUAGCCUGAACCAGCCAAGUAGCGUGAAGGAUGACUGCCCUCUGGGUUGUAAACUUCUUUUAUAUGGGAAUAAAGUGCAGUAUGUAUACUGCUUUGCAUGUACCUUAUGAAUAAGGAUCGGCUAACUCCGUGCCAGCAGCCGCGGUAAUACGGAGGAUCCGAGCGUUAUCCGGAUUUAUUGGGUUUUAAGGGAGCGUAGGCGGGUUGUUAAGUCAGUUGUGAAAGUGUGAGGCUCAACCGUAACAUUGCAGUUGAUACUGGCAGCCUUGAGUACAGGAGAGGUAGGCGGAAUUCGUGGUGUAGCGGUGAAAUGCUUAGAUAUCACGAAGAACUCCGAUUGCGAAGGCAGCCUGCUGGACUGUAACUGACGCUGAGGCUCGAAAGUGUGGGUAUCAAACAGGAUUAGAUAACCCUGUAGUC
This 460-nucleotide ribosomal RNA is filed under the name uncultured bacterium. Its description in RNAcentral is "partial 16S ribosomal RNA". It matches the Rfam family "Bacterial small subunit ribosomal RNA", at positions 338 to 795 of the family's 1533-position model. The record is from RNAcentral.